UUACAGCCCGCGCUGCGGCCGGGACGCGCCGGGGGCACCGGCGAGCGUCCCUCGCCCAUGUGCCCGCAGCCCCCGCCGCCCAUGGAAGUGAUGGAGGGGCCCCUCAACCUGGCUCACCAGCAAAGCAGAAAAGCAGACCGCUUGUUGGCAGCAGGGAAGUACGAAGAAGCAAUUUCUUGUCACAAAAAAGCUGCUGGGUAUCUUACAGAUGCGAUGAAGCUGACCCAGUCGGAGCAGGCUCAGCUAUCACUGGAAUUACAAAGGGAUAGUCAUAUGAAACAGUUACUGCUCAUCCAGGAGAGGUGGAAAAGGGCAAAGAGGGAGGAAAAGCUGAAAGCCCAGCAGAGUGCUGACAAGGAAGCAGUUGCACACCUUCAGACUUCUUACAAGCCAUCUGCUGAAGACUCUGAUGAUCAAAAUGUACUGGUUCCUGUUGCUCAGAAAUAUAGCUCUUCCACAGAGAAACAUUCACAGGAUAUUCGGGGUGUCUUUGACAGGGACCCAGAUACUCUUUUAUUUCUGCUUCAGAAAAAAAAGGAGCCAGUGGAAGCAUGUAUUGGGAGUAAAGCGCCAAAAGAUGACAAAACAAUAAUAGAAGAGCAGGCAACCAAAAUUGCAGAUUUGAAGCAGCUCAUAGAAUCUCUUGUAGCUGAAAACGAGAGAUUAAGGAGAGAGAAUAAGCAGUUAAAAGCAGAAAGAGCUAGACUCCAAAAAUCUCCAGUAGACAAGGAGUUGGAUGUAGACACUGACUUUGUCGAGAAGUCAGAGUUGUGGGGUCUGCAGCAGCACUCGGAAUCUGCUUCUUCAGCGGCAACUUGGCAGAAGUUUGCAACAGCUGCUGGGAAGGCAAAGGACAUUCCAAUCCCCAAUCUUCCUCCCCUGGACAUCCCGUCCCCUGAACUCCCGCUACUGGAACUCUCCGACGAUAUACUGAAAGGACUGAUGGAUAGCUAAAACCCAGGAAGAGGGCUCAGUGUAGUUACCCAGACUUCGGAAAAGGGAAAGCCACCCGGACAGUGGUAUCUGAGGGCAGAAAUAUUUACCACAAUCCUACUGUUGGAGAAAAGGCAUUAAGCAACUUUGUUGCAGUGAAAUACACAUCAUAUCUGAUUUGCUUCAUAAUAGACUUGGAAGUGCAGCAAGAACAUCUUACAGCUGUGCAAAUUCUCCUUACCUCUGUAUACCUGGCAUCUUCUGUGCUUGAAGGAGCAUAGGGACUGGAGGUUAGAAAAGGUCUAUAGAAACAGAGGUAAGACAACUUCAUUAGAGGAGGUGCCUUGUGCUGAAUUGUAGCUGGAAUCUAGUCCUGCUGGGGAAAUAAAAAAUGUUAUUUUUCAGUUGGAGCAGCUUAGCAAAUAGCCCUCUCCAUCUGUGAUGAGGUGACCUGUUCCAGGUCAGGCCCAGCUCACUGCUCCCACUAAAGAGCAAGGCCCAGUCUCUGCUGGCCCCUACCUGGUUGACUGUUCUGAGUCACAAGGCAGAGGAGCAUCGUGUUUUUAGUCAUGUAAGUAAAGUAAAGAAAAUAGCAUGUGCUCACGAGAUGGAAAUAAAUUAUUUAAGCACCUACCUCAAGCCACUGCUGGGGUGGUAGCUCAUGGUUGUUAACUACAAGACAACACUACAUGUUUGUGGUGUCUGCAAAUGGCAGCUAUAGGAGAAGGAAGCAAUUUUUACAUCUGUUGAAGUCAGGAUUAUUCAGAGGUGGGAGUGUGGGAAUUGCAAGCUCUACCUUCUUCACUUUAAGACUGAAAUGUCCAUGUGUAGCUGCAUAAGCAAAACACCAGAUCUGAAAGAAGCUGUUUCUCGGUGGGAAGGAUGGCCAAGUAGGGGCAAAACUCCCUACUGCCACUUUUGAAAGUGGUGUUAAAACUUCUCUCUCUCCUGCAGUGCAAAUGUUUGUUUGCUCUUGCACUGUGCCUACUCAACACGACUGCUGCUGAAUCCCAACUCCAGGCAGUAAGGCUGAGCAUGAGCGUGUUCCACUCUCGUGAGUGACGCUGAAUUUUUUUAAGUAAGGGAUUCUUCACUCUGAAUCCACAGCUAAGCAAUUAGUGCAUUGGAAGAAAGGUAGGUUGUACUGAGAAUAACCACCACUAGAGGACAGGUUUUACAGAUUCGUAGCAAUUGACCUAAGGAAAUUCUUCUCCCAUGGCUGUCAGCAAUUAUUUUGUGUCAUAACAACUGAAAACUGAAGUUAUUAAACUUCCAAGGGAGGUGUGGCCGGGCGCGGUUCCGCGGUGCUGCAGCCGGUGUCCGGUGUCCAGCCUGAUCCCGCUCCGCUCCCGCAGCCUUUGGCUGCCAC
RNA transcript from Cinclus cinclus, 2302 nucleotides. It is a transcript of the gene named nuclear receptor binding factor 2, with no coding region annotated. The record is from RefSeq and is a predicted model, not a curated record. NCBI's taxonomy places the organism in Eukaryota, Metazoa, Chordata, Aves, Passeriformes, Cinclidae. The transcript is spliced from 5 exons.